AGGUAGCUUGCUACUGAUCUUAGCGGCGGACGGGUGAGUAAUGCUUAGGAAUCUGCCUAUUAGUGGGGGACAACAUUUCGAAAGGAAUGCUAAUACCGCAUACGUCCUACGGGAGAAAGCAGGGGAUCUUCGGACCUUGCGCUAAUAGAUGAGCCUAAGUCGGAUUAGCUAGUUGGUGGGGUAAAGGCCUACCAAGGCGACGAUCUGUAGCGGGUCUGAGAGGAUGAUCCGCCACACUGGGACUGAGACACGGCCCAGAUCCUACGGGAGGCAGCAGUGGGGAAUAUUGGACAAUGGGCGCAAGCCUGAUCCAGCCAUGCCGCGUGUGUGAAGAAGGCCUUAUGGUUGUAAAGCACUUUAAGCGAGGAGGAGGCUACUUUAGUUAAUACCUAGAGAUAGUGGACGUUACUCGCAGAAUAAGCACCGGCUAACUCUGUGCCAGCAGCCGCGGUAAUACAGAGGGUGCAAGCGUUAAUCGGAUUUACUGGGCGUAAAGCGCGCGUAGGCGGCUAAUUAAGUCAAAUGUGAAAUCCCCGAGCUUAACUUGGGAAUUGCAUUCGAUACUGGUUAGCUAGAGUGUGGGAGAGGAUGGUAGAAUUCCAGGUGUAGCGGUGAAAUGCGUAGAGAUCUGGAGGAAUACCGAUGGCGAAGGCAGCCAUCUGGCCUAACACUGACGCUGAGGUGCGAAAGCAUGGGGAGCAAACAGGAUUAGAUACCCUGGUAGUCCAUGCCGUAAACGAUGUCUACUAGCCGUUGGGGCCUUUGAGGCUUUAGUGGCGCAGCUAACGCGAUAAGUAGACCGCCUGGGGAGUACGGUCGCAAGACUAAAACUCAAAUGAAUUGACGGGGGCCCGCACAAGCGGUGGAGCAUGUGGUUUAAUUCGAUGCAACGCGAAGAACCUUACCUGGCCUUGACAUAGUAAGAACUUUCCAGAGAUGGAUUGGUGCCUUCGGGAACUUACAUACAGGUGCUGCAUGGCUGUCGUCAGCUCGUGUCGUGAGAUGUUGGGUUAAGUCCCGCAACGAGCGCAACCCUUUUCCUUAUUUGCCAGCGAGUAAUGUCGGGAACUUUAAGGAUACUGCCAGUGACAAACUGGAGAAGGCGGGGACGACGUCAAGUCAUCAUGGCCCUUACGGCCAGGGCUACACACGUGCUACAAUGGUCGGUACAAAGGGUUGCUACCUAGCGAUAGGAUGCUAAUCUCAAAAAGCCGAUCGUAGUCCGGAUUGGAGUCUGCAACUCGACUCCAUGAAGUCGGAAUCGCUAGUAAUCGCGGAUCAGAAUGCCGCGGUGAAUACGUUCCCGGGCCUUGUACACACCGCCCGUCACACCAUGGGAGUUUGUUGCACCAGAAGUAGCUAGCC
Molecule: ribosomal RNA, 1365 nt
Filed under: Acinetobacter pittii
Lineage: Bacteria; Pseudomonadati; Pseudomonadota; Gammaproteobacteria; Moraxellales; Moraxellaceae
Description: bacterial SSU rRNA
Rfam family: Bacterial small subunit ribosomal RNA
Source: RNAcentral